This 662-nucleotide unclassified non-coding RNA is filed under the name Hevea brasiliensis (rubber tree). The record is from RNAcentral. Lineage: Eukaryota; Viridiplantae; Streptophyta; Magnoliopsida; Malpighiales; Euphorbiaceae.
AGGGCUCACAAUAACAGCUCCAAUAGGCAUGUAACCCGAGGAAAGUGCCUUUGCAAGAGAUACAAGAUCCGGUUUAAUAUUGUAUUUAUCGCAUCCAAACAUUGUCCCUAGUCUUCCAAAGGCACAUAUUACCUCAUCCGCAACAAAAAGUAUAUCAUACUUCUUGACCACAGCUUGGAUCUUCUCAAAAUAAGUAGCUGGUGGAGGAAUCACACCACCAGCCCCCAUGACAGGUUCAGCUAUGAACGCAGCAAUCGUCUCUGGUCCCUCCUUGAUUAUAAGGUCUUCUAAGUUUUUGGCUAAUCUGGUUGAGAACUCUUCCUCUGUCUCACCUGGAAGAUGGUAACGCCAGUAAUGUGGACAAUCAGUGUGCAGAACGAAUGGAGCUGGAAUGUCAAACUUCUGGUGCAGAGCUGGAAGGCCAGUAAGACUAGCUGAUAUUAAUGUUGAACCAUGGUACGCCUUUGAGCGAGCAAUGAACUUUUUCUUAUUUGGUCUUCCAAGUGCAUUGUUAUAGUACCAUACCAGCUUGACCUGAGUAUCAUUGGCUUCUGAACCACUGUUCACAAAAAAUACUUUCCCCAUUUUUCUUGCUGUAAACAUUCCGAGCAGUUCCUUUGCCAGAUCCAAAGAAGGCCUUGUAGUACGAUUCCAAAAGGAGU